CCUGCCCUUGGGUCCGGCAUAACCCCGGGAAACUGGGGAUAAUUCCGGAUAACGCAUAUAUGCUGGAAUGCUUUAUGCGUCAAAUGGAUUCGUCUGCCCAAGGAUGGGUCUGCGGCCUAUCAGGUAGUAGUGGGUGUAAUGUACCUACUAGCCGACGACGGGUACGGGUUGUGAGAGCAAGAGCCCGGAGAUGGAUUCUGAGACAUGAAUCCAGGCCCUACGGGGCGCAGCAGGCGCGAAAACUUUACAAUGCGGGAAACCGUGAUAAGGGGACACCGAGUGCCAGCAUCAUAUGCUGGCUGUCCGGGUGUGUAAAAUACACCCGUUAGCAAGGGCCGGGCAAGACCGGUGCCAGCCGCCGCGGUAACACCGGCGGCCCGAGUGGUGAUCGUGAUUAUUGGGUCUAAAGGGUCCGUAGCCGGUUUGGUCAGUCCUCCGGGAAAUCUGACGGCUUAACCGUUAGGCUUUCGGAGGAUACUGCCAGGCUUGGAACCGGGAGAGGUAAGAGGUACUACAGGGGUAGGAGUGAAAUCUUGUAAUCCCUGUGGGACCACCUGUGGCGAAG
This 565-nucleotide ribosomal RNA is filed under the name Methanosarcina sp. enrichment culture clone G08. RNAcentral describes it as "bacterial SSU rRNA". It matches the Rfam family "Archaeal small subunit ribosomal RNA", at positions 108 to 671 of the family's 1478-position model. The record is from RNAcentral. Lineage: Archaea; Methanobacteriati; Methanobacteriota; Methanomicrobia; Methanosarcinales; Methanosarcinaceae.